AAAAAUAAGUUUUCUUCUUUGAAUUCUUUUACAAAAAUUGUAACAAUGGAACAGAUAUGAGAGAAGGAAUUGUGCAGCAUUUCUAUUGAAUUUUGGACAGCACAUCGUUUGAACUUUACACAGCAAAAACAUCAAAUAUUGACAGCGAAACAAAGAAAUUUUCACUAUCCGCAAAUUCAUCUAAAUCUGAUUUGUCACCAACCCCAGACGGCACCUCAAACAAAGUAUCUUGCUCUUCCUCGUCCUCCUCCUCAUCCUCUUCCACAUCUUCAUGAUCCUCCUUCACUUGCUUAUCACGCUCCAUUGCCUAGCACACAACAACAACACACACAUGAGCUUGGACACACAUAUAUUUGACUUUUGGAUAGCAAAAACAGCACACACAUGAGCUUGCACAAACAUAUAUUUGAGAUUUGGACACCAAAAAAAGAACACACAUGAGCUUGCACAAACAUAUAUUUCACAUUUGGAUACCAAAAACAGCACAUCUGAGCUUGGGCACACAUAAAUUUUACUUUCAAAAAGCAAAAACAGCACAUACAUGAGCUUGCACAAAUAUAUAUUUUGCACGCACAUACCUGGGAAGAUGUAGCCUCCCUCUCAUAGUCGUUUGCGGAGCCAGAGGCAGCGGCGAUUCCGGCACGCACGCCAG
This 652-nucleotide long non-coding RNA is filed under the name Triticum aestivum (bread wheat). Its description in RNAcentral is "long non-coding RNA (TAES_LNC014056)". Lineage: Eukaryota; Viridiplantae; Streptophyta; Magnoliopsida; Poales; Poaceae. The record is from RNAcentral.